RNAcentral lists this ribosomal RNA (492 nucleotides) under uncultured bacterium. Its description in RNAcentral is "partial 16S ribosomal RNA". It matches the Rfam family "Bacterial small subunit ribosomal RNA", at positions 29 to 507 of the family's 1533-position model. The record is from RNAcentral.
AGUGAACGCUGGCGGUAGGCCUAACACAUGCAAGUCGAACGGCAGCACAGUAAGAGCUUGCUCUUACGGGUGGCGAGUGGCGGACGGGUGAGGAAUACAUCGGAAUCUACUUUUUCGUGGGGGAUAACGUAGGGAAACUUACGCUAAUACCGCAUACGACCUACGGGUGAAAGCAGGGGAUCUUCGGACCUUUCGCGAUUGAAUGAGCCGAUGUCGGAUUAGCUAGUUGGCGGGGUAAAGGCCCAACAAAGCCACGAUCCGUAGCAGGUCCGAGAGGACGAUCAGCGACACUGGAACUGAGACACGGUCCAGACUCCUACGGGAGGCAGCAGUGGGGAAUAUUGGACAAUGGACGCAAGCCUGAUCCAGCCAUACCGCGUGGGUGAAGAGGGCCUUCGGGUUGUAAAGCCCUGUUGUUGGGAAAGAAAAGCAGCAGGUUAAUACCCCGCUAUUAUGACGGUACCCAAAGAAUAAGCACCGGCUAACUUCGUG